GGAUGUGAUCAUACCAGCACUAAAGCACCGGAUCCCAUCAGAAGUCCAAAGUUAAACGUGCUUGGGAGAGAGUAGUAGUAGUACUAGGAUGGGUGACCUCCUGGGAAGUCCUCGUGUUGCAAUUC
Molecule: non-coding RNA, 125 nt
Organism: Hordeum vulgare subsp. vulgare (domesticated barley)
Lineage: Eukaryota; Viridiplantae; Streptophyta; Magnoliopsida; Poales; Poaceae
Source: Rfam